UGGGGAAUAUUCCACAAUGGACGAAAGUCUGAUGGAGCGACGCCGCGUGAGGGAUGAAGGUUUUCGGAUCGUAAACCUCUGUUAUAAGGAAAGAACGUUACAUAUGCUAAUACCAUGUGUAAAUGACGGUACCUUAUGAGGAAGCCACGGCUAACUACGUGCCAGCAGCCGCGGUAAUACGUAGGUGGCAAGCGUUGUCCGGAAUUAUUGGGCGUAAAGCGCGCGCAGGUGGUUAUAUAAGUCUGAUUUUAAAGUUCGGGGCUCAACCCCGUGAUGGAUUGGAAACUGUAUGACUUGAGUACAGUAGAGGUAAGCGGAAUUCCCAGUGUAGCGGUGAAAUGCGUAGAUAUUGGGAGGAACACCAGUGGCGAAGGCGGCUUACUGGGCUGUAACUGACACU
RNAcentral lists this ribosomal RNA (400 nucleotides) under uncultured bacterium. Its description in RNAcentral is "bacterial SSU rRNA". It matches the Rfam family "Bacterial small subunit ribosomal RNA", at positions 355 to 747 of the family's 1533-position model. The record is from RNAcentral.